GACGAACGCUGGCGGCGUGCCUAAUACAUGCAAGUCGAACGAGAGCGACCGGUGCUUGCACUGGUCAAUCUAGUGGCGAACGGGUGAGUAACACGUGGGUAACCUGCCCAUCAGAGGGGGAUAACAUUCGGAAACGGAUGCUAAAACCGCAUAGGUUCUUGAGUCGCAUGACUGAAGAAGGAAAAGAGGCUUCGGCUUCUGCUGAUGGAUGGACCCGCGGUGCAUUAGCUAGUUGGUGAGGUAACGGCUCACCAAGGCCGUGAUGCAUAGCCGACCUGAGAGGGUGAUCGGCCACAUUGGGACUGAGACACGGCCCAAACUCCUACGGGAGGCAGCAGUAGGGAAUCUUCCGCAAUGGACGCAAGUCUGACGGAGCAACGCCGCGUGAGUGAAGAAGGAUUUCGGUUCGUAAAACUCUGUUGUUAGAGAAGAACAGCGCAUAGAGUAACUGUUAUGCGUGGGACGGUAUCUAACCAGAAAGCC
RNAcentral lists this ribosomal RNA (483 nucleotides) under Granulicatella elegans. Its description in RNAcentral is "bacterial SSU rRNA". It matches the Rfam family "Bacterial small subunit ribosomal RNA", at positions 28 to 492 of the family's 1533-position model. Lineage: Bacteria; Bacillati; Bacillota; Bacilli; Lactobacillales; Carnobacteriaceae. The record is from RNAcentral.